GUUUUGACACUUUUUUUUUUUUUUGAGUUGUAGUCCUUAAUCCCCAAGAAAAGAUGGUUUAUUGAAAGGGGUGCUACAUUGGCUUUCAUGGUGGGAUGGAUACAACUCUCAGUUUGACCUCCCAGAACCAUAAGCUACUGAUUAGAAAAGACGCUAAUGAAGGAUAAUUAUAGAGAAUAGUAACAGAGGGCUUGAAAGCCAUAGAUGUAGAAAGAACUAAGCCUUUGUAUGUGGAAGGAUGAUGGGCAUUGAACUAGAAGAGAAUUCAGAGUUCAUGUCCUAAUAUUUGGUUGUUUGGGUGAACCAAGUGGAGGGAAUUGUCCUUGUUGCUUAUGGGCGUCAU
This 343-nucleotide unclassified non-coding RNA is filed under the name Hevea brasiliensis (rubber tree). The record is from RNAcentral. Lineage: Eukaryota; Viridiplantae; Streptophyta; Magnoliopsida; Malpighiales; Euphorbiaceae.